RNAcentral lists this ribosomal RNA (500 nucleotides) under uncultured bacterium. RNAcentral's name for it is "partial 16S ribosomal RNA". It matches the Rfam family "Bacterial small subunit ribosomal RNA", at positions 30 to 523 of the family's 1533-position model. The record is from RNAcentral.
AUUGAACGCUGGCGGUAUGCUUUACACAUGCAAGUCGAACGGCAGCACGGACUUCGGUCUGGUGGCGAGUGGCGAACGGGUGAGUAAUGUAUCGGAACGUGCCCAGCCGUGGGGGAUAACGUAGUGAAAAUUACGCUAAUACCGCAUACGAUCUAUGGAUGAAAGCGGGGGAUCGCAAGGCCUCGCGCGAUUGGAGCGGCCGAUAUCAGAUUAGGUAGUUGGUGGGGUAAAGGCCCACCAAGCCAACGAUCCGUAGCUGGUCUGAGAGGACGACGAGCCACACUGGAACUGAGACACGGUCCAGACUCCUACGGGAGGCAGCAGUGGGGAAUUUUGGACAAUGGGCGAAAGCCUGAUCCAGCCAUUCCGCGUGCAGGAUGAAGGCCCUCGGGUUGUAAACUGCUUUUGUACAGAACGAAAAGGUUUCUACUAAUACUAGGAGCUCAUGACGGUACUGUAAGAAUAAGCACCGGCUAACUACGUGCCAGCCGCCGCCGUAA